AUUGAACGCUGGCGGCAUGCCUUACACAUGCAAGUCGAACGGCAGCGGACCUUCGGGUGCCGGCGAGUGGCGAACGGGUGAGUAAUAUAUCGGAACGUACCUUUCAGUGGGGGAUAACGUAGCGAAAGUUACGCUAAUACCGCAUAUUCUGUGAGCAGGAAAGCAGGGGAUCGCAAGACCUUGCGCUGAUUGAGCGGCCGAUAUCAGAUUAGCUAGUUGGUGAGGUAAAGGCUCACCAAGGCGACGAUCUGUAGCGGGUCUGAGAGGAUGAUCCGCCACACUGGAACUGAGACACGGUCCAGACUCCUACGGGAGGCAGCAGUGGGGAAUUUUGGACAAUGGGCGCAAGCCUGAUCCAGCCAUGCCGCGUGAGUGAACGAAGGCCUC
This 387-nucleotide ribosomal RNA is filed under the name uncultured bacterium. RNAcentral describes it as "bacterial SSU rRNA". It matches the Rfam family "Bacterial small subunit ribosomal RNA", at positions 30 to 418 of the family's 1533-position model. The record is from RNAcentral.